This is a long non-coding RNA of Pyrus x bretschneideri (Chinese white pear), 2619 nucleotides long. RefSeq lists it as uncharacterized. The transcript has 7 exons. The record is from RefSeq and is a predicted model, not a curated record. Lineage: Eukaryota; Viridiplantae; Streptophyta; Magnoliopsida; Rosales; Rosaceae.
CGGCAACGACAGGUUGAUCACAUCCUGAGUUUUCCGACUGAUUUAUUCAAUUCUACCGGUUCUGAUUUUUUUCCCUCCAUAGUUUCUCCAGCACCAUCUGCCUUGCUCUCAUCACAACUUCUUUCAGUUCCUCAGGUGGAAUGGUAAAUGUGAGUUUCUCUUACCGUUCUUCAGAGGGAAGAGCUUGAGAGACAGUGGACUCUUCUGCUAUUCCUCCCCAAUCACUUUUACCAAUCUGCACAACCCAAAUUGAGAGAUGGUGCUCUUCCCUGAGGCAUGAACGCGGGUAGAGAGUAUGAGGAUAAAGGAAAGAGAAGAUGCUGUGAUCAUCCAGCUUUAUCGGUUUGUUAAGGCACUUUUCGUACUUUUUGUCUGUUUAAAAUUAUAUGCUUUUCGUCUUUAGGAAGAAUUUCAUUAAGGAUUUUCCAUGAAUUUCUGAGAAUUCCAUUUUAUCCAAGCUAUGGGCGUUGAAAUGUCAGUACCUUUUUAUUCAAAUUUUUCUUUAUUUGAAUAUUAUGUGUUUAGAAGUGUAAAUUUGCACAAUUGAAUUUUAGUAAAUUUUUCAUAGUCUAAUUGAAACAAACCAAAUUAAUUCCCCAUUGUGAUUUAAUAUAAUUGAAUGUUAAUAAUUUUUCAUGCUUUUGUAAAAGAUUUCGUCUAAAUUUCAGAUUUUUGGAGGAUCCGUCAUUAAACUUAUGGGUUUUUUUUGAUAUUUUUAUCUGAGAUUUAGUAUUUUUUUUUCUUCUAGAUUUUGUAGAGUACUUCGAUUAAAUUUGUGAGUUUGGUAGUUGUAUUUUUUCUGUGCAUUUUUAGUGAACUUGGUUGUGGGUUUUGAUGUUUGUCUGCAGCAGGGAAAGGGAAGAAGAUCGUUCCAUGCCCUCCACCAGUUCCAGAUUCUCAUUGUGCCUGGCCACCUAGCGAACCAAGUGGUCUUUCAGAACCUGCAGGAGAUGAUCAAAGCCAGAUGGUAUAGUUUUUUGUAUUUUUUGCUAUUGCUGUAUGUAAAUGACCAAAUCGAAUGCCUUUGAGCUCCUUACAAAUUCACUUUCCUGACUUAUUUUUCUUAUGAAACUCUGUCCAACCAUAUUUUCUUAUAUGGUUAAAGUUGGUGGCAGAAUUCUUAAGGAGAUCUUCCACAAGCAGUAAGCUUAACAUUAAAGGAUCAAUCUUCUUCAUUAUCUUUAUCGGAGCAAUACAUCUUUAAUGCAUGUGUACAUUAAAGGAUCAUUCUUUUAAUUUUCUCUUUUUUCUUUACUGAAAAAAUCCCUAAUUUGGUUGUUUUUUGUUUGAAAAGAGUAACGGCGUCCAAGAAUGAUUUGGAGCUAGGAAAAAAUCCCUAAUUUUCUCUGCUUCUUGAGAUCGACAUGGCUUCCUUGACUAUUUUCACCGAGGUUUCUCGCUUCAAAUUGGGUUUUAUUUAAGACAAACUUAUACAUCCUAACGCAAAGGGAGAGAGUAGGCAAAUGCUGGCAUUGUUGAUAUUGCACUUCUCUUUGGAAAGAAGCAUGUUUGGCAUUCAAUCCACCAUUUAAAUGGGAAAGAGGAAGUUCCCCGUCACAUGGUUAGAGCCGUAGAGCUCAUGAAAUACUUUUCUCGAGCCUUGGACCAAUAAGAAAGAAAUAAACUUUAUUAAGAUAAAGAGGACUGAACAACAACAUGAAAAGCUGAGAAUGAACAGUCGAAUACCGAGUAAAUUCCACUGCUACCACCCAACAAAUUCAGGUGCUGAAAUUUCAAUUAGUGUUCUUCAGGUAGGUAAAGUUGCUAUCUUUCUAUACAAGAUGUUGAAUUUUUUAUUUGCGUUUUUUUUUUUCUUUUCGUUGGAAAUAUUGGUAUUUCUGUUAGUUGUUGAUGGGUAGCUUGAAUUUUGUUCAAGUCGUAGUAAUUUCCGUACAAGUUUACAUUUUUGUGUGGAAUUUGUGCAACUUUUGGUGUUUGUGUGGUGUUAUUUUGAUUGGUUGUUGGCCUUUGAUUUUGUUAUGGUGAAAAUGUUUCCCUCUCUUUGCUUGAUAAAAUCAUGUGUUUUGGAUUAUGGUGCUGAUUUUGGUUCUUAUCUAUGACUGUUGGUGAUGUAACAUUAUCGGCUUUAGGUAGUAGGUUAUGUAUUCUUAAAAGAUAACCGAGUACAUCCUAAUAGCUGCAUCCCUGGGUUUGUGAUUUUGUUGCUCGAUUACUGAGGUUUAUUUUUCGGUGCUCUCUGCUUGGUUCUCACAUUUGAGUCAUUUCAUCAAAUCAUUAUAUAGAUUUCCACUUGAAAUUUUAGCUUUGGAAUAGUUAGGUGGCGAUCUCUGCUUGACUUUGUCGAUUGAGUCACAUCACCUAAUCAUUGGAGACUUCUUUUCCUUUGAUUGGAAAAAUCAUUGGAGAGUAGUAUUUCCUAUUAAAAUUAACUUUGGAAUGUAGUGCUGCUCUGUAUUUGUAAAGGUGAAAACUGACGAGUGCCAAGUAUGAUUGUGUAAACUUCGAUAAGUUUUAGAGUUUUAUCAUACCACAUAUCAAAUGAGCAAUAUGUGCGGGCGAAUUUAUUAUGUUAGAAGCUUAAAAUUUUCCAUUCCAGCCUAAUUGAAUUUUCUUCUAUUUUGAAUUCGAUAUAAAUGCAUUAAGGCCACUCCAGUUUCA